CAAGCAAAAUGAAUUUUAGUCUGAACCCCCGAAACUAAGUGAGCUACUUCAAAAUAGUCUUAAGAACAAACCCGUCUCUGUAGCAAAAGAGUGGGAUCAUUUUCAAGUAGAGGUGAUAAACCUACCGCACUUAGAGAUAGCUGGUUGCUCAAGAAAAGAAUAUUAGUUCUACCUUAAGUCUUUCAAUUACAUAAAAAAGUACAACUUAAGAGCUAUUCAAAUAAGGCACAGCUUAUUUGAAACAGGAUACAACCUAUAAUAUAGGGUAAUAUAUAAGAACCAGUGACAAGUGGGCCUAAGAGCAGCCAUCCAUUAAAAAGCGUUAAAGCUUAACACCUACCUAUUCUAAUACUUCACUACACCUCCAACCCAUUAUUAUUAUUGAGCAACUCCAUAAACCUAUGGAAGUUAUAAUGCUAGAACUAGUAACAAGAAAUAAAUUUUCUCCAAAAUGUAAGCCUAAGCCACAAUAGAUAACCUACUGGCAAUUAACGUAAAUGAUUAUAUUACAGUAACUCUAACGAGAAAAUCCUGUAACUCUUGACGUUAACCUAACACAAGAAUAUUAAUGGAAAGAUAAAAGAAAAAGAAG
RNAcentral lists this ribosomal RNA (592 nucleotides) under Gephyromantis rivicola. RNAcentral's name for it is "partial 16S ribosomal RNA". The stretch from base 1 to 420 matches the Rfam family "Bacterial large subunit ribosomal RNA", at positions 687 to 1300 of the family's 2925-position model. Lineage: Eukaryota; Metazoa; Chordata; Amphibia; Anura; Mantellidae. The record is from RNAcentral.